RNAcentral lists this small nucleolar RNA (130 nucleotides) under Oncorhynchus mykiss (rainbow trout). Lineage: Eukaryota; Metazoa; Chordata; Actinopteri; Salmoniformes; Salmonidae. The record is from RNAcentral.
CUUCAGUGAUGAUACGAUGACGAGUCGGAAUGGACACGGUUUGUCUCUGCGGUCACUGGGUCAGGGACACGUUCUGUGUCUCUGGGUUCAGUUCUUCAGUUGAAGACAUCGAGGCAUUUGUCUGAGAAGG